Molecule: ribosomal RNA, 369 nt
Filed under: Olea europaea subsp. europaea
Lineage: Eukaryota; Viridiplantae; Streptophyta; Magnoliopsida; Lamiales; Oleaceae
Description: LSU_rRNA_archaea
Rfam family: Bacterial large subunit ribosomal RNA
Source: RNAcentral
CAAGACAAGUCUCUCUAAGAAACUCAACAAAAUAGCCCCACAACUUCAGGAGAAUGAGCGCCUCCUCACAAAAGGGUAACAGUGACCAGGGACUAGCAACUGUUUACCAAAAACACAAGUCUCCACAAAGUCGUACAACCAUGUAUGGGAGCUGAUGUCUGUCCAAUGUUGAAAGGUCAAGGAAGUUGGUAACCUGAUGAUGGGGAGCAGGCGACCGAAACCCCAAUGAACAGCGACCGUAACAAUAAUAAUCCUAAGGUAGCGAAAUUCGUUAUUGGAUAAGUUUCGACCCGCACGAAAGGCAUAACAAGCUGGGCAUUGUUUCAAAGAGAAGCUUGAUGAAAUAGACAUGUCUGUGAAAAUGCAGAC